Molecule: ribosomal RNA, 467 nt
Filed under: uncultured bacterium
Lineage: Bacteria
Description: partial 16S ribosomal RNA
Rfam family: Bacterial small subunit ribosomal RNA
Source: RNAcentral
GGAUGAACGCUGGCGGCGUGCUUAACACAUGCAAGUCGAACGAUGAAGCUCAGCUUGCUGGGUGGAUUAGUGGCGAACGGGUGAGUAACACGUGAGUAACCUGCCCUUAACUCUGGGAUAAGCCUGGGAAACUAGGUCUAAUACCGGAUAGGAGCGCCUACCGCAUGGUGGGUGUUGGAAAGAUUUAUCGGUUUUGGAUGGACUCGCGGCCUAUCAGCUUGUUGGUGAGGUAAUGGCUCACCAAGGCGACGACGGGUAGCCGGCCUGAGAGGGUGACCGGCCACACUGGGACUGAGACACGGCCCAGACUCCUACGGGAGGCAGCAGUGGGGAAUAUUGCACAAUGGGCGAAAGCCUGAUGCAGCGACGCCGCGUGAGGGAUGACGGCCUUCGGGUUGUAAACCUCUUUCAGUAGGGAAGAAGCGAAAGUGACGGUACCUGCAGAAGAAGCACCGGCUAACUACGUG